Procambarus clarkii (red swamp crayfish) is the source of this 1005-nucleotide non-coding RNA. The record is from RefSeq and is a predicted model, not a curated record. Lineage: Eukaryota; Metazoa; Arthropoda; Malacostraca; Decapoda; Cambaridae.
AAGAGGGAGGUGGUGAGGUGGCGAGGGCCGGCCGGCGUCUCCGUCCACUCGCCCGCCCGCCCUCACCAUGGCGGCUGCUCCACGCUCCUCUCCACCUCCUCUCUCUCUUUCUCUGCCUCCUGCCCUCUAUUCCUCCAUCUCUUCACCUCUCCUCUGCCUGUCCCAUCCCCAGGACAGCCAUGGACGCGUGCUGGCAAAUUCACUGACGGCCAACCUUUGUGGUGCAGUCUGUGCUGAAGUAACCUCUUCAAAUGUGGGGUCCUCGCUAAAAAUGCUUUUAAUGACACAUCAAUAUGAAGAAUAUAAUUACAAAGGAUGUUUGAUGGUAAAACUGCUGCACUUGUGGACAUGACGGAUGGUUUGCCUAAGCAGAUUCUUGGAUGUGCAGUUAGGAUCAUCUGUGCUGAUGAACAAAGUUUCCAUCAUUUGCAAAGUGCAGUUUCUCCUUAGUACCUGUAAAAUGCUUCGGGAACCUCUCUCAAAGGAAAGGUCAGAACCAGGAAUGCAGAAUGUCUGUUUAAUGCUGACCUGGGUUAAAAUGUCUGGUCCUGACUGAAAGAGGUUUUUAAUGACAUGUUGACCUGAAGAUUAUAAUCAUGAAAGAUGUUUGACUGAAGCUGCUGCACUUGUGGAAAUGAUGACGGAUGUUUUGCCUUGGCAGAUUACUGGAUGUGCACUUAGCAAGACACUUAGGACUGUGCUGAUGAACAAAAAUGUUGCUUGACCAUGGAGCUGCUGCGCCUGAUGAAGUGGCAUUGGGCAUCUCAAGACAUGCAGUUGGGACAACACUACUGAUGCAGAACAAAGGAUCUGCAGUUCUGACGUUGAAGGUACAAACAUUGGACGUCGUCAUUCCCAUUAUACUACUCGUGCCUUGACUGUCUGCUAACUGUCCACUACCCUGAAAGAUAUUCAUGGUUUAAUUGUAUUACAAAUGUCUGCAUCUUUCCUUUCAAGAACUUUUUUGUUUAGCAAUGUAAGACUUAAUAAAAAAAAUUAAAAUCG